ACCGACAGCACCUUAGCGAUAUAGGGGAUCAGCGGCAGGUUCAGGAUCAAGAGCACCAAAUUGCCAAUGAACAUCGACAUGAUCACCGCCCAAAAGAUCUGCGGCUCGUCGAUCAUCAGGCGCGGGCC
RNAcentral lists this non-coding RNA (128 nucleotides) under Sulfitobacter indolifex. Its description in RNAcentral is "Cis8_sRNA". It matches the Rfam family "Ruegeria cis8 sRNA". Rfam says of the family: Cis-encoded. The record is from RNAcentral. Lineage: Bacteria; Pseudomonadati; Pseudomonadota; Alphaproteobacteria; Rhodobacterales; Roseobacteraceae.